This is a long non-coding RNA of Triticum urartu, 397 nucleotides long. RefSeq lists it as uncharacterized. The record is from RefSeq and is a predicted model, not a curated record. Lineage: Eukaryota; Viridiplantae; Streptophyta; Magnoliopsida; Poales; Poaceae.
CUCCCAAAGCCGUGCCUCAAGCGCUUCAUCUCUUUCUCCACCCACGCACACCUACAGGCAGACAAACUAAAGAAACAGGAAACCUAGAGGAGAAACAUCCCCUCCUCUAAAUCGUUUAGUUCUUCACCGUUUCCAGAUUUCUCCAUGGACGCCGGUGCUCUAUCCCGGUGAUUUAGGCGAUCCAUGUUCGAGUCCUUGCGCCAAAAUAUUCUGCUCCAUGCCGCAACUCCAUUCAGAGAAGAAACAACGUGUUCCGUCGAGCAUACGCGGAGAAUUUUGCAAGUACGUAUACACUGUUCGUCAAGUUCACCGCACCGUUCCGUCGAACUCGGGAGUGACGAUAUCGAUGUUGGACAUGGACAGAACAGGUUACUGAAGAAGGACUCAACAACGAAGG